RNAcentral lists this ribosomal RNA (465 nucleotides) under uncultured bacterium. RNAcentral describes it as "partial 16S ribosomal RNA". It matches the Rfam family "Bacterial small subunit ribosomal RNA", at positions 28 to 507 of the family's 1533-position model. The record is from RNAcentral.
GACGAACGCUGGCGGCGUGCUUAACACAUGCAAGUCGAGCGGUAAGGCUCCUUCGGGAGUACACGAGCGGCGAACGGGUGAGUAACACGUGAGUAACCUGCCCCAUUCACCGGAAUAACCAGUGGAAACGCUGGCUAAUGCCGAAUACGACCACCGAAGGCAUCUUCUGGUGGUGGAAAGCUCCGGCGGAGUGGGAUGGACUCGCGGCCUAUCAGCUUGUUGGUGAGGUAACGGCUCACCAAGGCGACGACGGGUAGCCGGCCUGAGAGGGUGACCGGCCACACUGGGACUGAGACACGGCCCAGACUCCUACGGGAGGCAGCAGUGGGGAAUAUUGGACAAUGGGCGAAAGCCUGAUCCAGCAACGCCGCGUGAGGGAUGACGGCCUUCGGGUUGUAAACCUCUUUCAGCAGGGACGAAGCGAAAGUGACGGUACCUGCAGAAGAAGGACCGGCCAACUACGUG